Ficedula albicollis (Collared flycatcher) is the source of this 423-nucleotide long non-coding RNA. RefSeq lists it as uncharacterized. Lineage: Eukaryota; Metazoa; Chordata; Aves; Passeriformes; Muscicapidae. The record is from RefSeq and is a predicted model, not a curated record. The transcript is spliced from 3 exons.
GUCUCACAAUUGGACAAUCCUGUCCUAAAGGCCUUCUUAAACAUAGGCACUGCUGAGGGUGUGGACAGAUCUCAGGUCUGGGUUUAGUACAACCAAAAUCAGCUUACUCAGAUCAAGCUGGCUGAGACCACUUCCAAGCAUAUUCCACACAUGGAUGUAUAAGGAAUCCAUUGGCAGAAUGGGAUCAAUGCAUUCCUGCCUUCAUUUGAGCAUCGAAAAUAUAUUGAAAAUGCCUUCAAGAGCAGCAGACUAGAACAUCACCUGUGCACAAAAUAAUUUAAUCUCUCCUUGGCACAUGGAGCAACUCUUCUUAUUUAGGCAGCUGUAGCUGUACCUGCACAGAUUGCUCCUGAGAGAAGCUUGGGUGGUCCUGGCUGAGUGCAAGAGGCAGCUGAGGGGUGCAGUGAGUGUGACACAGAGCUG